Molecule: long non-coding RNA, 1278 nt
Organism: Lutra lutra (Eurasian river otter)
Lineage: Eukaryota; Metazoa; Chordata; Mammalia; Carnivora; Mustelidae
Exons: 3
Source: RefSeq, a predicted model, not a curated record
UUCGAAGAUGAUUUAUACCACUAGUCCCUGCAGCUCUCUCCCCGUGAUCUCGCCGGGGGGACGACCCCUUCGCUCCACACCGCCCAUCUCUGAGCCAAGGAGAUUCAUCUUUUUCCUCGUGAUUUCUUCUAUUGCUUGGAAACCUAUAAACCACUUGGGAAGUUUAAGAAAAGUGAAGGAAGUUAAGAAAAAUUUAUAAAUGCUUUUCCAGAAGCCCAGCAGGGGACCCCAAACCAGCCCUGGGAAGGAGGGGAAGGCUUCCUGGUGGAUGUGAGGUCUGCGCUGAGCUGACAGUUGAUCAGACAUUAACCAGUCAUGCUGUCGGCUGCAGGGAGAUGAGGUAGAGAGGACUCCACGGAGAGGGACACAAGGCUGGAUUCCUAGAAGACAGGAAUUUAUGGUGUGAGAGCUCCAGCCCCCGCAAACCCACAGCCAAGGUCAACAGCACGAGGCGGGCAGCCCUGCCAAGCAAGAAGGGGAGCAGUGACUUUGAGAGCUGGUUGCACAGAAAACCAAAGUACAUGCAUUAAAAAAAAAAAAAAAAAAAAAAAAAAAAAAAUCCCUUCUCUCCCUCACGUUCCCAAACCAGGGGCUUAAACAAAAGUCCCCCAGACUGGCCCGGACAAGGCCCCUUGUCUGGGAAGAGCGAACCUUCUUGGAGACAAACUUCUGAAGCUACUGAUGGGAGGGGGGUGUUCCCCAAGGGUCCGUGGAGGGCCUGAAAGGGGUCCUGUUGCUAGACCCAGCCACAGCAGCCCCCUUGUGGUUCUGGGAGGGUGGUGAGCAGGCUACCCAUGGUGCCCCAUCCUUCUAGCUAACCAAAGACAGCUGAGAUGGACAGAGGAGCCCUGGGCCCUUCGCAAAGCUCCCCCCAACAUGGGAGCCUGAUUUGCGCAGUGUCCCCUCUGCCUUCUGGAGGCUGGGGUCUUCAUGACCAAGGCACAGUGAAUGCCCAGCAGCCCAGGGGCCAGGGCUUCCUAUCACAAGCCUAGAACAUUGCGUCUCUGGAAGGGGAGAAUAAGCUUAUCCCAGCCUCCCCAGGAGGAAAGCAGGGGCCUGGAGACCACCUUGAGUCAAACCCCAGUGCCCUGGUGCUGGGAUGACAGCCCUCACCUUGAUCAUGAACCCGGGCAGGUGCAACAGAACGUCUACCAGUUAUCCGUGCUUCUGACGUUUCUAGCCCCAUGGAGUGUCGGGCACCUGGAAAAGUAAAACAAGGCAGCCUCCUGCCCCAGAGAAGCACCUCCGAGUGGGGAGCAUUGACAUGGAAACAAAUGA